This 253-nucleotide ribosomal RNA is filed under the name uncultured bacterium. RNAcentral describes it as "partial 16S ribosomal RNA". It matches the Rfam family "Bacterial small subunit ribosomal RNA", at positions 524 to 776 of the family's 1533-position model. The record is from RNAcentral.
UACGGAGGAUCCAAGCGUUAUCCGGAUUUAUUGGGUUUAAAGGGUGCGUAGGCGGAUUGAUAAGUUAGAGGUGAAAUGUCUGAGCUCAACUCGGGAACUGCCUCUAAUGCUGUUGAUCUAGAGAGUAGAUGCGGUAGGCGGAAUGUAUGGUGUAGCGGUGAAAUGCUUAGAGAUCAUACAGAACACCGAUUGCGAAGGCAGCUUACCAAUCUAUAUCUGACGUUGAGGCACGAAAGCGUGGGGAGCAAACAGG